This 253-nucleotide ribosomal RNA is filed under the name uncultured bacterium. RNAcentral describes it as "partial 16S ribosomal RNA". It matches the Rfam family "Bacterial small subunit ribosomal RNA", at positions 524 to 776 of the family's 1533-position model. The record is from RNAcentral.
UACGUAGGGUGCAAGCGUUAGUCGGAAUUACUGGGCGUAAAGCGUGCGCAGGCGGUGAUGUAAGACAGGUGUGGAAUCCCCGGGCUUAACCUGGGAACUGCAUUGAAUACUGGGAGGCUAGAGUACUGGAGAGGAAACUGGAAUUUACGGUGUAGCAGUGAAAUGCGUAGAGAUCGUAAGGAAGACCAGUGGCGAAGGCGAGUUUCUGGACAGUUACUGACGCUGAGGCACGAAGGCCAGGGGAGCAAACGGG